GACGAACGCUGGCGGCGUGCUUAACACAUGCAAGUCGAACGGAAAGGCCCCUUUGGGGGUACUCGAGUGGCGAACGGGUGAGUAACACGUGAGUAACCUGCCCUUGACUUCGGGAUAACUUCAGUAAACUGGGGCUAAUACCGGAUAGGAAUCCUUGCUGCAUGGUGGGGGUUGGAAAGCUUCGGCGGUUUUGGAUGGACUCGCGGCUUAUCAGCUUGUUGGUGGGGUAGUGGCUUACCAAGGCUUUGACGGGUAGCCGGCCUGAGAGGGCGACCGGCCACAUUGGGACUGAGGUACGGCCCAGACUCCUAAGGGAGGCAGCAGGGGGGAAUAUUGCACAAUGGGCGGAAGCCUGAUGCAGCAACGCCGCGUGCGGGAUGACGGCCUUCGGGUUGUAAACCGCUUUCAGCAGGGGCGAAGCUUGUGGUGACGGUACCUGCAGAAGAAGCACCGGCUAACUACGUG
RNAcentral lists this ribosomal RNA (465 nucleotides) under uncultured bacterium. RNAcentral's name for it is "partial 16S ribosomal RNA". It matches the Rfam family "Bacterial small subunit ribosomal RNA", at positions 28 to 507 of the family's 1533-position model. The record is from RNAcentral.